This 296-nucleotide signal recognition particle RNA is filed under the name Saimiri boliviensis boliviensis (Bolivian squirrel monkey). Its description in RNAcentral is "Metazoan signal recognition particle RNA (ENSSBOG00000000102.1)". It matches the Rfam family "Metazoan signal recognition particle RNA". Rfam says of the family: The signal recognition particle (SRP) is a universally conserved ribonucleoprotein. It is involved in the co-translational targeting of proteins to membranes. The record is from RNAcentral. Lineage: Eukaryota; Metazoa; Chordata; Mammalia; Primates; Cebidae.
GCUGGAUGUGGUGGCAUGUGCCUGUAGUCCCAGCUACUCGGGAGGCUCAGGCUGGAGAAUCCCUUGAGUUCAGUUCUGGGCUGUAGUGUGUUAUACCAAUCGGGUGUCCUUGCUAAGUUCAGUAUCAAUAUGGUGACCUCUUGGGAGCAGGGAACCACCAGGAUACCUAAGGAGGGGUGAACCGGCCUAGGUCAGAAAUGCAGCAGGAUAAAAUUUCCGUGCUGAUCAGUAGUGGGAUUGCACCUGUGAAUAGCUACUGCACUCCAGCCUGGGCAACAUGGUGAGACCCUGCCUCU